This 275-nucleotide signal recognition particle RNA is filed under the name archaeon. Its description in RNAcentral is "signal recognition particle sRNA". It matches the Rfam family "Archaeal signal recognition particle RNA". The record is from RNAcentral.
UUGGCGGCUAGAUUGGGAGGCCAGCGGUCUCCUGUAACACGAAAUCCGCUUAUGCGUGAAUCGAAGCCUUUGAGGCGUUUCAUUGCUGGUUUGCAGGGCCAUUAAAGCUUUGCUGAUCUUCUGUCCUCUUAGAUUGCCUGCCUGAAUGAACCCGCCAGGUUCGGAAGAAAGCAACGGUGAUUCAUGCAAACAAUGCUUUGAGUCAACGGAAGGGAGAAGCCUGAUGGGUUAACCUGCUUGCUAAACAAUGCUGCCACUUGAAGGCACGCCGCCGC